Molecule: ribosomal RNA, 808 nt
Filed under: Ceriporia sp.
Lineage: Eukaryota; Fungi; Basidiomycota; Agaricomycetes; Polyporales; Irpicaceae
Description: partial large subunit ribosomal RNA
Rfam family: Eukaryotic large subunit ribosomal RNA
Source: RNAcentral
UGGCAGUCUUUGGCUGUCCGAGUUGUAGUCUAGAGAAGUGUUUUCCGCGCUGGACCGUGUACAAGUCUCUUGGAACAGAGCGUCAUAGAGGGUGAGAAUCCCGUCUUUGACACGGACUACCAGUGCUUUGUGAUGCGCUCUCAAAGAGUCGAGUUGUUUGGGAAUGCAGCUCAAAAUGGGUGGUAAAUUCCAUCUAAAGCUAAAUAUUGGCGAGAGACCGAUAGCGAACAAGUACCGUGAGGGAAAGAUGAAAAGCACUUUGGAAAGAGAGUUAAACAGUACGUGAAAUUGCUGAAAGGGAAACGCUUGAAGUCAGUCGCGUUAGCUAGAACUCAGCCUUGCUUUUGCUUGGUGCAUUUUCUAGUUGACGGGCCAGCAUCAGUUUUGAUUGCAGGAUAAAGGUCAGGGGAAUGUGGCACCUUCGGGUGUGUUAUAGCCCUUGAUUGUAUACUGUGGUUGGGACUGAGGAUCUCAGCACGCCUUUAUGGCCGGGGUUCGCGCCCACGUUCGUGCUUAGGAUGCUGGCGUAAUGGCUUUAAACGACCCGUCUUGAAACACGGACCAAGGAGUCUAACAUACCUGCAAGUGUUUGGGUGGUAAACCCGAGCGCGUAAUGAAAGUGAAAGUUGGGAUCUCUGUCGUGGAGAGCACCGACGCCCGGACCAGACCUUCUGUGACGGCUCCGCGGUAGAGCAUGUAUGCUGGGACCCGAAAGAUGGUGAACUAUGCCUGAAUAGGGUGAAGCCAGAGGAAACUCUGGUGGAGGCUCGUAGCGAUUCUGACGUGCAAAUCGAUCGUCGAAUUUGGG